This 512-nucleotide ribosomal RNA is filed under the name uncultured bacterium. RNAcentral's name for it is "partial 16S ribosomal RNA". The record is from RNAcentral.
GGAGUUAGCCGGUGCUUCUUCUGUGAGUGAUGUCCUUCCUGCCGGCUAUUAACCCGCAGGCCUUCUUCCUCACUGAAAGUGCUUUACAACCCGAAGGCCUUCUUCACACACGCGGCAUGGCUGGAUCAGGGUUGCCCCCAUUGUCCAAUAUUCCCCACUGCUGCCUCCCGUAGGAGUCUGGGCCGUGUCUCAGUCCCAGUGUGGCUGAUCAUCCUCUCAGACCAGCUACGGAUCGUCGCCUUGGUGAGCCGUUACCUCACCAACCAGCUAAUCCGACAUAGGCUCAUCCGAUAGCGCGAGGCCCGAAGGUCCCCCGCUUUCCCCCGUAGGGCCGUAUGCGGUAUUAGCCUGGGUUUCCCCAGGUUAUCCCCCACUACCGGGCAGAUUCCUAUGCAUUACUCACCCGUCCGCCGCUCUCCACCAGGGAGCAAGCUCCCCGUGCUGCCGCUCGACUUGCAUGUGUUAGGCCUGCCGCCAGCGUUCAAUCUGAGCCAGAAUCGAAACCUCUACGA